This 233-nucleotide unclassified non-coding RNA is filed under the name plant metagenome. RNAcentral describes it as "partial contains small subunit ribosomal RNA, internal transcribed spacer 1, and 5.8S ribosomal RNA". The record is from RNAcentral.
UUUCCGUAGGUGAACCUGCGGAAGGAUCAUUAUUGGAUUUUGAAACUUCAGGCUGCUGCUGGCUCUCCUCGGAGGGCAUGUGCACGCUUGUUGUCCAUUAUUUCUCCCACUGUGCACAAAUUGUAGACCUUUCAGUAGGCCUAUGGUGUUUUUCACAAUCUCUGAAUGUAAUAGAAUGGUUUUGAAUCUUGGGAAAUACAAUACAACUUUCAGCAACGGAUCUCUUGGCUCUC